Long non-coding RNA from Platichthys flesus (European flounder), 530 nucleotides. RefSeq lists it as uncharacterized. The transcript is spliced from 3 exons. Lineage: Eukaryota; Metazoa; Chordata; Actinopteri; Pleuronectiformes; Pleuronectidae. The record is from RefSeq and is a predicted model, not a curated record.
ACGUCACCUGACACACUGAUGUCUUUGAUGUUCCUGUUGGAUGAGUUUGUGAUGUCAACGUUCACCAUGACCGGCUCACCAUGAUAAAACGUCUGAGGACAGAGAGUCAGACAGACGGGUGGGACAGGUGGGACAGGCAGGUGGGACAGACGGGUGAGACAGACGGAUGGGACAGACGGGUGGGACAGGUGGGACAGACGGGUGGGACAGACGGGUGGGACAGACGGAUGGGACAGACGGGUGGGACAGGCAGGUGGGACAGACGGGUGGGACAGGUGGGACAGACGGGUGGGACAGACGGGUGGGACAGACAGGUGGGACAGACGGGUGGGACAGACGGGUGAGACAGACGGGUGGGACAGACAGGUGGGACAGGCAGGUGGGACAGACGGGUGGGACAGGUGGGACAGACGGGUGGGACAGACGGAUGGGACAGACGGGUGGGACAGACAGCCAGGUUUAUGUCUCACCUCUUUGGACAGGCUCAGCUUGACGGACAGAGGUCUCUCUGACAUCAGGAACUCGAAGGU